UCUUCCAUGAUGAUUUCUAACUAGAUGACUUUCGUUCUUCUGAGUUUGCUGAAGCCAUGCUUAGAAUCUGAGCAAGA
RNAcentral lists this small nucleolar RNA (77 nucleotides) under Monodelphis domestica (gray short-tailed opossum). RNAcentral describes it as "Small nucleolar RNA SNORD59 (ENSMODG00000026025.2)". It matches the Rfam family "Small nucleolar RNA SNORD59". Rfam says of the family: U59 belongs to the C/D class of snoRNA which contain the C (UGAUGA) and D (CUGA) box motifs. Most of the members of the box C/D family function in directing site-specific 2'-O-methylation of substrate RNAs. The record is from Rfam by way of RNAcentral. Lineage: Eukaryota; Metazoa; Chordata; Mammalia; Didelphimorphia; Didelphidae.